Mesocricetus auratus (golden hamster) is the source of this 72-nucleotide non-coding RNA. Lineage: Eukaryota; Metazoa; Chordata; Mammalia; Rodentia; Cricetidae. The record is from Rfam.
GGAGAUUUGGCUCAGUGGUAGAGCACUUGCCUACCAUGCAUAAGACCCUAGGUUCAAUCCCCAAUACCACCC